GGUGGCGAGUGGCGGACGGGUGAGGAAUACAUCGGAAUCUACUUUUUCUGGGGGGAUAACGGAAGGAAACUUACGCUAAUACCGCAUACUACCUACUGGUGAAAGCAGGGGACCUUCGGGCCUUGCGCGAUUGAAUGAGCCGAUGUCGGAUUAGCUAGUUGGCGGGGUAAAGGCCCACCAUCGCCACGAUCCGUAUCUGGUCUGAAAGGAUGAUCAGCCUCACUGGAACUGAGACACGGACCAGACUCCUACUGGAGGCAGCAGUGGGGAAUAUUGGACAAUGGGCGCGAGCCUGAUCCAGCCAUACCGCGUGGGUGAAGAAGGCCUUCGGGUUGUAAAGCCCUUUUGUUGGGAAAGAAAUCCAACCGGUUAAUACCUGGUUGGGAUGACGGUACCCAAAGAAUAACCACCGGCUAACUUCUUGCCACCAGCCGCGGUAAUACGAAGGGUGCAAGCGUUACUCGGAAUUACUGGGCGUAGAGCGUGCGUAGGUGGUUGUUUAAUUCU
Molecule: ribosomal RNA, 507 nt
Filed under: bacterium
Lineage: Bacteria
Description: bacterial SSU rRNA
Rfam family: Bacterial small subunit ribosomal RNA
Source: RNAcentral